Long non-coding RNA from Vidua chalybeata, 415 nucleotides. RefSeq lists it as uncharacterized. The record is from RefSeq and is a predicted model, not a curated record. Lineage: Eukaryota; Metazoa; Chordata; Aves; Passeriformes; Viduidae. The transcript has 2 exons.
GCGGUUCUUCCUCUGCUCACAGGGCACGGCCGUGGGUGAGCAGGGCAGAGGCGCCCCGGGUGGCACCGGCGGCGAGUCCCCGUGGAACAGCUGCUCAGAGAUGGUGUGGAGUCUCCUCCCUGGGGAUGUUCAGACCUGUUGAGACACAAUCCCGUGCCCUGUGCUCCUGAAACUUGCCAGCAGAGUCCUGUCCCGGUGUGAGGUUGGUGGCAUCACCAGGAACGGGUCAUGGGAUGCAAACCCGGCCGAUGCACCCCGAAAAGUUCAAUGCAGCUGCCUCUGCACUGCCCAACUCCCACACAAACGCUGUCUCAUCAUUUAUUAUCAUUUCCUUCCCCUUUAAAAACCCUCAAAAAAGCCAUAUCGUGGCCCUGGGAUUUCUCUCUAAUAAAAUGUUCUAUUUUUAUUGCUGAAA